UUUUAGUCUUAGUGUAUCCAAGUCUUGUUUUUUGAGAAUGAAGGAACAAUAAAGGAUUCCCUCUUUUUUUAUCAAUUUUUAUCAAAAGGGGUUCUAUAAUGUGUUCCUUCAUUUUUUUUUUACCUGUUUUAUUUACAAGACUUAUUUAUUUUUAAUAUAAAAAUAAAAAGAUAUUAAGAAAAAGUUAAAAAUGGGAUAACGUAUUUCAAAAUGAAAAUUAAAAAUGAAAUUGAAAUAAUGUCACAGUACAAAAUAAAAAAAGUUUAUUUAUUUCUUAUUUUAUUUUUAAUUUAAAAUUUUUAUUUAGAAAUAAAUAAAAAGGAUA
This 325-nucleotide unclassified non-coding RNA is filed under the name Stackhousia nuda. RNAcentral's name for it is "partial miscellaneous RNA". The record is from RNAcentral. Lineage: Eukaryota; Viridiplantae; Streptophyta; Magnoliopsida; Celastrales; Celastraceae.